AUGGAUGAGGAAGGUGAACGCGUCGUCGUCGUCUGAAUCUGCGGUGCGGAAAAUCUCCUUUAAGUGAGUAUGAUAGGCAGCGAUACCUUCCUUUUUCAUAGUAAUUCCUUCCUUUAUCAUGAUAAUUCCUUCCUUUCUUAUAGUCACAGGUCAUGCGGCGAAGGCAGCGUCUCGCGCUGAUAGCAUGCAGUGGAUGGAGUGAUUGGCGGACAAAAUUAUUUUCUUUCCUUUUCUAGCUCGACUCCUUUCCUUUUCUCACUCGUCCGCUGGACAGGGGAGGUGGGAUCGCAUGGAUAGGGUGACAGACGGACGAAAGACAAUUGCUGCACCAAAAAGUGUCCACUCUUUAGUCUUUUUACUUGUGAGAGACUAUAAUUAUCAUGAUAAAAUAUUUGCC
RNAcentral lists this long non-coding RNA (397 nucleotides) under Sorghum bicolor (sorghum). Its description in RNAcentral is "long non-coding RNA (SBIC_LNC005108)". The record is from RNAcentral. Lineage: Eukaryota; Viridiplantae; Streptophyta; Magnoliopsida; Poales; Poaceae.